Molecule: long non-coding RNA, 1186 nt
Organism: Saccostrea cuccullata (small rock oyster)
Lineage: Eukaryota; Metazoa; Mollusca; Bivalvia; Ostreida; Ostreidae
Exons: 4
Source: RefSeq, a predicted model, not a curated record
UAGUUGAGUAAACUCUUUGCUAUCGCACAAAAGGCAUCUGAAGCGUUGAACCUAAUAAACAAAAUCAUGAAAAUAUUUAUCAUUAUGGGAAUUAUCUAUUUGUAUAAUUUUACAAAUAUCCCAUUUACACUUUGAAGCAGGGAGUCUAUGCAUGAGAUUUGAACCACGUGGGCUUAUUUGAUCCCAGAUAUGGUUUUAAUCUAUUAUGGUGAAUAAUAUCCCCCUUAUGCUUUGCAUGUUUCCCUAUUCUGUAAAGAACAUCAUUUAUUCUUUGUAAAAUAAUGUAGGGUCCCUUCCAUUUAAGGGAUAACUUUUUGUGGAGUCCCAUAUUUUGAUUUGGGAAAAAGACCCAUACAGCAUCUCCUGGGUUAUAGAGAUUUUGGUGAAUUUUUGCAUUGUAAUCCCGUAACAUAUUAUCAAAAGAAAUGCUCAAUUUAUUUCGGGCAAAAUCAUGUAUUUUGUUUAGCUUUUCUGAUAGAUUUUGGGCGUAUUCAGAACUUAAUUUUGAUUCAUAUUUUUCAGGGUCUACUCUGCCGAGUACUAAAUCUACUGGGAGUGUGACUGAUCGCCCAAAUACCAUUUCACAAGGGCUUACCCCUGUGGCCUCAUGAGAAGAUGAUCGAUAUGCCAACAUGAGGAUGGCAUCAACCCAUUUGGUGAAGUAAUCUCCCACAACUAGAAGAUAAGAAUUUUUCCUGUGAGUCAUUGGUAAAGGACCUAAUAUAUCCACCGCCCAUCUUUCCAUUGGAGCACCAACCAGGGUUUAUCCCAGUGUUUGGAGAGUUUCCCUGAGACCUUGUAGUAACAGCACAGUUUUCAGAACCACUGGGAGCUGAUGUUUGACUUGACAAAGAUUCACCUUGACAGAUUUCCUCAUGGGAUAAAUUUUCUACUUCUACCGGGACUCUUGGAUUGAAAACAAUCUCUCCCGAAUCUUCUAAAUGACUAUUAUCCCUUGACAUUUUUGCUUUUGGGAGUACUUAUUUAUUCUAUGAUAUAAAGAAUUUAUAUGUUCAAUUAUUUGUCUUAUGUCCAAUCAGAUAAUGGGAAUGAAAAUUUAUGAAUCCCACUUCUGACACCAAUGUUGCCGUUCAGGGGUUUUCUCCCUUGAGACAACUUGUGGGUCUCCCAAUUCUGUAUAUUGGACAAAGAACUAUGAGUCAGGAUUAAAGUUUAUAAAAAUUUA